This 74-nucleotide transfer RNA is filed under the name Schistocerca americana (American grasshopper). RNAcentral describes it as "tRNA-Thr". It matches the Rfam family "tRNA". From Rfam's summary of the family: Transfer RNA (tRNA) molecules are approximately 80 nucleotides in length. Their secondary structure includes four short double-helical elements and three loops (D, anti-codon, and T loops). Lineage: Eukaryota; Metazoa; Arthropoda; Insecta; Orthoptera; Acrididae. RNAcentral also lists the same sequence under 1 other name. The record is from RNAcentral.
GCCUGCGGUGGCUCAGAUGGAUAGAGCGUCUGCCAUGUAAGCAGGAGUCCCGGGUUCGAGUCCCGGUCGGGGCA